Molecule: non-coding RNA, 353 nt
Filed under: Staphylococcus aureus
Lineage: Bacteria; Bacillati; Bacillota; Bacilli; Caryophanales; Staphylococcaceae
Rfam family: S. aureus tsr24 small RNA
Source: RNAcentral
AAGUUGGGGUGUGGGCCCUAACACAGAAAAUUCAUUUUAUUGAAUUUUACAUUUAUGUGCAAGUUGGGCAAAGUGUCUUAUUUUUUCAAAGUAUUUAAAAGUAAAAUUACAUGUUAAUACGUAGUAUUAAUGGCGAGACUCCUGAGGGAGCAGUGCCAGUCGAAGACAGGGGCCCCAACACAGAAGCUGACAUAUAGUCAGCUUACAACAAUGUGCCGGUUGGGGUGGCUGAGACGGCACCCUAGGAAGGGACCCGUCAUCAAAAAUUCUAUUUAUAGAAUUUUACAGUAAUGUGCCAGACGGGCAAAGCGAAGCCAUUCAAUACGAAGUAUUGUAUAAAUAGAGAACAGCAG